GGCUCCCUGCUGUGUUCGUGACGGGUGACGAAGUCUUGAGCCAACACCCAUAAGUAGGGUGCCAUAUUGGGGUGUGGAUUGCAUUAGUUUUUUGAAACGGGACGCAUGAAACACUCUUGAGGCGCCCACCUUACUAUAGGGUUCAGAGACUUGAACUCGCACGGCACCAAGCGGGGAUUUU
This 181-nucleotide non-coding RNA is filed under the name Caldifarciminota bacterium. Its description in RNAcentral is "candidate division WOR-3 bacterium (hot springs metagenome) 6S RNA". It matches the Rfam family "6S / SsrS RNA". From Rfam's summary of the family: E. coli 6S RNA was the first non coding RNA to be sequenced, but its function was unknown until recently. It consists of 184 nucleotides that fold into an extended hairpin structure with a large single-stranded internal bulge. The 6S RNA specifically associates with RNA polymerase holoenzyme containing the sigma70 specificity factor. The record is from RNAcentral. Lineage: Bacteria; Pseudomonadati; Caldifarciminota.